AAAUCUGUGCCGUGGUCUUAUUUGAUAAGGUUAUGGCAGAAAAGUAGAGGAAAAUACCGUCGUCAUAAAAAUAUAUAUACUCUCAUGUAUCCCUAAUGGAGUAGAUGGUCACGAUCUAUACCGCGAGAAUGACGAAUGUAUGACUGUCAAGUCGUACUUGGAAACAAAAAACAGUUAACUUUGACCUCGUAAGGAAACAGAUGUUACAACAAAAUGUCGGUUGUCGAUGUCAUUCGACAUUACCAACGCAGCAUAGAAAAAUGCCAGGAAGAUGAGGAAAGGAUGUUGCACUGCAUCAAUAAACUAUGUCGCCUACCAAUAACGGUUCAGCUUCUUAAGGAAACUGGUGUUGGCCGUACUGUAAAUGCAUUAAGGAAAUAUGAGGGGCAGGUUGGAGAAGCUGCAAAGUAUACUGUGAUGAAAUGGAAGCAGAUGGUUGCUGAAGAAGAGUCCAGUGAUGAUGAUGGAGAAGAAGCUGGAGAUGAAACUGGAACUGAGAUGCACACUGAAGAAAUUGAUGAAACAAAUGCUAUAGAUGAAGAAGAAGAAGAAGAAGAAGAGGAAGAGGAAGAAGAGGAGGAGGAUGAUGGUGAUAGUGGAGGUUACACUGUUUUGGUAAAGGAGAACAGUAGGCAUAGUCACAAAGAGACUCACAGUAAAAGCAGGAAGGAUGAGAACCACAAGACAGACAGUAGUAGACAUGAAUAUAAGUCACUCAAGGACAAAACACACAGGGAUGUAAACAGCAGCGAAAAAAAACAUAAGGACAGUCAUAAAACUCAAGAUUCAAACAACACACGAGAGAGACAUUCACACAAGAGGAAGAGAGACUCAAGCAAAAAUCACAGACGUGAUGAAAAAAGAAAAAAGUAUGAUAGUGAGAAUGAAAACCUUUCGGAUGAAGGCUCAGAAUCACAAGAAAUGCUAAUUGAUGAGCGAGUGACUGAAGCAAUUAAUGCAGAACGUUACACAGAUGAAGAACAGGAAGGGGAAGAAGGUGAUGGUGAUAAUGAUGACGACGAUGACAGUAAUGAUGUCAGCGACCGUGACAGCACGUUAUUGGCUCCAGAGCAUGGGUCACAUUCAAAGCAGCACAGCAGCAGUUCAAGUAGUAGCCACCAUCACAAACAUCACAAAGAGUCACACCGAAAACAUGAUAAACAUAAAGAAAAGAAGGUCCACAGUAGUGAUAAACAUAGUAGAAAGAGUGAUAGUGACAAGGUAAAUGAAAGGACAGGUGCUAGUGACAGCAAAGAAAAACAUUCAAAGCAUAAAGAUCAUAAACAAGAACAUAAAAAUAACAAACAUAAAGUCAGUAAUAAUACAGGUGAACUGAGGAAGGAAAAAAGUGAAAAUGUGAAACAAAAAACUGAUAGUGUUUUAAAGGACAGCAAUUCAUCAAAAACAGAUUCCAAAAAAAAGCCAAAGGAGAAAACAGAUAGUGCAUCAAAAACCAACACUUCACACAAGCACCAUAAAUCGUCUGAUUCUAAACCAAAGGAAGUGAAAGAGAAAAAGAUAAAAAAAUCUGAACAUGUCAAUGAUGAGGAUGAUGAUGUUGGUGGUAUUAGUUCCAUGUCAGGAGCAAGCUUUGCAGAAGCCCUAGGUAUGGUUGACCCCAUGAUUAAGAAGAAGUCAACAAACUCUUCUGGAUCUAGCUCAAAUUCAAAAACAGCACGAAGCUCUAGCAGUAAGACAUCUGCAGUAGUAGAGAAAAGCAGCUCUAAGAGCAAAGAAAUGAAGCCACCCAAAGUUAUUCCAUCUGCCAAAGAUGAGCCAGUGCCACUCCUUUCUUCAUCAGUGAAGCUGGAGCCGCUCAAGGUGGAUUUGGAUGCAACUCUACCAGAAAUUAGUCCAAACUAUAGGCCAUUGCCUCAUCCAACUCUUGAUGCAAUGCCACAUAAAAAAAUAAAAGUCUUGUCAGAAGAAGAAGAACUUGCUCAAUUAAUGUCCCAAAAGAACCAGAGGACAAAGGUGUACUCUGGGCUGAAGAGUGGCAAAAGCUGGACUAAAGUGCCAACGCUCUUUGAUAUUUGUGUUAGAGUUCUGCAGGAAAAUAUAGAGGCAAUUGAGUACACAGGAGGUGUACCAUAUGACUUGCUUAAACCAGUCCUCAUUAUUGCUACACCAGAUCAGUUAUUCAUGCUAGAGCAUUACAACCCCUACCUUAUUGAAGAAACUGAUGAACUGUGGGAAUUCCAUUGUAAGAAAUCAUUCCGCACAAAAGAGCGGGAAGAGAUGGAGACGUGGCGAGAAAUGUAUAUGCGCUGUGUAGAGGAACAAGAGGCUAAACUGAAGGCAUUGACAUCCAACAUACAACAGUCUAUUGCAAAAUCAACACCAAUUCGACAAACAAAGUUGGCAUAUGUUGACAGUAUUGCCAAACCGCCACGGAAUGUGGCAAAGCAACAGGCAAAAUAUGGCACUGCUGGACCUGUUGUCAUUAGCAAAGGAAGCCCAGUUAAAGGAGCAAAGACAGGCAUGGGGAGACAGAAUUCUGGUCCUAGCACAUCAGCGGCUCCUGUACCUGUUCCCCCACCAAGGAGUGUGCAAUCAGACUUUCCAGAAUCACAUUUCAGGUAUGGAUUCUCCGCAGUGGGAAAACAUUUGAAAAGGCACAUAUUGUCUUUCACUGCCCCCACAAGAAUUUCCAUCUUGUCCCCCACAGGAGGAGCAUAGUGCAAGCACCCAGAAAGAAACAUUUUGUAGAGUUCUCAGAUGUCCAGCGUUUGUUACAGGAGGCCUGUGGUAUGGAAACUGCCAAAGUCAAACCUCGGAUGGCACCUUUGAUGCAGAAGACAAUGAAACUUGUGAAGAGCUUCAAAAGAUGAUGAUUCUUGUAUUUAGAGAAUAUUUCAUGGAUGGCUGAUCAUUGUUAUUUUCGUUUAGCAUCUGUGAGUUUUAUCGAUGAUUCUAAUUGAGUUUUACAAAGAAAAUAUUCUAAAUACGUUGAACCAGUGUGGAAGAGUAAUGUGCUUCUGUGAUGUGUUAUACAAAGAAAUUAUGACCUCUUUCCUUUACAUCUCCACUUCUUUGACAGCGGGAUGCAAUCUGAUCCGGACUCCAAUGAUGUGCAUAUAAUUUUAAUCUUUUUAAAUGUGAAAUAAUCAAAAGUAAAUGACUUAUGGAGGAUAUAUAUAUAUUAGAUAUAUAUUUAUAGGAGGAAUAAGUAUGUGACUUACUGUGUUUGUGAAGCAUCUGGAAAAAGCUGUGUAUUGUAUAGCAGGACUAUUUUUCAGUUGAGUAGGUGAACUGAACUCUAAGAACAAUGAAUUUUGCAUUUUUAGCAAGUUAUUUAGUUCCUAUAAAAAAUAGAUAGCCUGCACAAUUGGUAUCAAGUUGUGAUGUGUUCUUAUUGUUAAAAUUUUAUUAUUUUAAUUUAUAAAGCACCCAGAUGUAUUCUGUUGCUAAUGGAUUUAUCAGUUAUCUCUUUUGCUGAAACAAAAGAGUCGUUGGGUUUGUUGUUGAUGACUUCUGUCAGUAUCUUGCUUAUGCUGAGCUAUCUUUAUUUGACCAAUGAAAUAAAUAUAACCAUUAUGUAAUUUUAGUGUUGUUUAAAAUAAAGAUACUUUUGUGAUGUGAGUACUCACAAUCAUCUCAUGCAUUGACUGAAAGUCAGGAAAUGAACAGAAUGGACAUCUAAAAAUAUUACCUUGUUUUCUUCCAAUGCGUACUUGUUGGAUAAUUUAUUUUUAAUAGUCACUUCUAGGAGAGACUACCGUUGUGAUUGCUAUUGUGUUGAUAAAUGCAAAGAAAAAAAUGUGUGAGAAAAAUAAAAGCCUCAGCCAACUGUAA
Schistocerca nitens (vagrant locust) is the source of this 3795-nucleotide RNA transcript. It is a transcript of the gene named transcription elongation factor B polypeptide 3, with no coding region annotated. The record is from RefSeq and is a predicted model, not a curated record. Lineage: Eukaryota; Metazoa; Arthropoda; Insecta; Orthoptera; Acrididae. The transcript has 10 exons.